Molecule: long non-coding RNA, 672 nt
Organism: Stomoxys calcitrans (stable fly)
Lineage: Eukaryota; Metazoa; Arthropoda; Insecta; Diptera; Muscidae
Exons: 3
Source: RefSeq, a predicted model, not a curated record
CAUAUUAUCCUCGGUGAACGCUUGGCCAUUGACAAUCUUAAAGUUUUCCUCAUCUGCUCCACCAAAACCAUGGAAAGGGGUAUUCGCAAGCCGAAUGAAUGCAUGCAGGCAAAAAUGGAGAAUGUUUUGUAUCUUAUCUACUUACCGCCGUCGAACCCCAUCUUAGAAAUUUAGGAAGAUUUUGUUGUUACUUUUGCCAGCUGCUGCCAGUUGUAUUAAGAUAUGUUUAUUCAGGUAGUAAACCAAAUCAGAGUUGCCAAGUAAAAUUAAUGGCUGAAGCUAGGUAUGCACCUCUAACGAAAUUUCUUUUGCAACCAAAACGUUACAAAAAAAGGAUACUACACGAUGGCGACAAAUAUCAAUUUAUAUUUUGACUUAUUUUUAAUCAUUUUUCGGCUUAUAAAGUACAUAUGUACUGAUAUUAACCAUUUUAAAUUGCAUAUAAAAUUAUUUCAUGUUGCAUAGAGCUAUUAAAACAUACAUUUUCAUUCCUAGUUGCAAACAAAAGUUCCAAUCCAAUGCCUGUUGGCAACGCAAAGAAAAUUUCAUUUUAGAUCCGUACCUGCGAAAUAAUUUAGUACAUUGCGCCUUAUGAUACAAUUAAGAGGUAGCGUCAUUAGCACAACAACAAUAAACAACCCCAACGAAUCUACCUUGAGUGGCAAAUGCCGU